ACAUGGGUUAUAAACUUUUCAGACACACCCCUCUCCCUCCACUAUAAAAGCCAUUGACAAAAGUAUAACUUCCUGUUCCGGACACUAGGAUGACGAUCCGAUGUCAGAAUGGUUCAGAUAAUAACUACAGAACUAAGCCAACAUCAGCAUGGACUUUGGUUGAAAAGGGUAGGAACUUUGAACUCGUAUUCACUACAGAAGUGAUACCGCCUAGCCGUUGAGUUAGCAACAGCCGCUACAAACGCAGGUUAGGAAGGAUAGUCAGAGUAUCCCGUCUACUACACACGACGUUACUCCAACGUAUCCAGUGAUCACCAGAGACAUUCUUCAAAGGACAGAGGACUCGGGUUGGCGAUACGGUCUUCCAUCUACCACCAACCUACUGAAGCGCAGCUCAGAGGCACUCUUGUUAUUCCAAACCUCUCAUCUGGGUUGUAUGAGGAGGGUCAGUGGAAGUUCCCUCAUAAGUUCAACCCUUACAACUUCCUGGAUGAACAGGGAAAGCUGGAGAAACAUAAAUCCUCUAUGCCCUUUUCCGUUGGGCCCCGUAUGUGACUGGAAGAGGGACUCACUCGCAUGGAGCUGUUCUUGAUUUUGGUCACUUUGCUGUGACGCUUCCAGUUUGUCUGGUCUGAGGACGCAGGGGAACCUGACUACACCCCUGUGUUUGGUGUGACAUAGGCACCCAAACCUUACAAAGUGGUUGUGUAUAUCUAAGAAGCAGCCAGUAAGGCUGAGCACCAUACUCUGCUUGUCACAAACUGGAUAGAAUGACUUCAAUGUCAUCUGUCUCUCUACUCUAAAGAGAGUGAAAGCACUCAUUAAAGAAAAUAUAUGUAUUUGUACAGAUGGACUUGACUAUAUACAGAGCAAAUGUUGUUUACACAAUGCAGUACUCUCAUUAGUUAAAGCAAUGUCUGUUUUAUGAGGUCAUUUAAGAGUACAAUUAUUACUUUGAUUACUGAAAUCUAUUAAACUGUGUAGAUAUCUUCAAGGUCAAUGCUUCCCAGAGAUACUAACAUACUGAAGUGUCCUUGAGAGUCUGAUAAGCAAGUAUGACAAAGGUGAAGAUAUGCAGUUAAUUAUAAUGGCUAGAUAAUAAGUGCUGACUGCUGAUAUUGCUUUCCUUGCGUUUCUAAGGGUAUUAAUCAGGCAAGCUUAUUCGUUUGUAUCAAUGAAAUCGUUGGAUUUCACAAGUAUGAGCAUCUCAAUUGUGUUCCAGGUUUGUUGUGUCUGUGAGUAUAUAGUAGGAUACACAGAUUCAAUAUAGCCCAUCUAGUAGGCUAUGCAGUAUGCACACACAGACAGCCUUGUAUUUGGAUGAAAAGUUUUGUUUUGUGGUGUAUGUUUAACACACAAGGGUUUUUGUUUGUUGACAUUUUAAUAAAGUAAUAAAGUUAAUAAGGUCUGACUUCCCUCCCACCA
Salvelinus fontinalis (brook trout) is the source of this 1425-nucleotide long non-coding RNA. RefSeq lists it as uncharacterized. Lineage: Eukaryota; Metazoa; Chordata; Actinopteri; Salmoniformes; Salmonidae. The record is from RefSeq and is a predicted model, not a curated record. The transcript is spliced from 3 exons.